AGGCCACUGCUAUCGGGGUCCGACUAAGCCAUGCGAGUCACGGGGGUGUCCCUCUGGGACACCACCGGCGGACGGCUCAGUAACACGUCGGUAACCUACCCUCGGGAGGGGGAUAACCCCGGGAAACUGGGGCUAAUCCCCCAUAGGCCUGAGGUACUGGAAGGUCCUCAGGCCGAAAGGGAUCCGCCCGAGGAUGGGCCGGCGGCCGAUUAGGUAGUUGGUGGGGUAACGGCCCACCAAGCCGAAGAUCGGUACGGGCUGUGAGAGCAGGAGCCCGGAGAUGGACACUGAGACACGGGUCCAGGCCCUACGGGGCGCAGCAGGCGCGAAACCUCCGCAAUGCGGGAAACCGCGACGGGGGGACCCCGAGUGCCGUGGCAACGCCACGGCUUUUCCGGAGUGUAAAAAGCUCCGGGAAUAAGGGCUGGGCAAGGCCGGUGGCAGCCGCCGCGGUAAUACCGGCGGCCCGAGUGGUGGCCGCUAUUAUUGGGCCUAAAGCGUCCGUAGCCGGGCCCGUAAGUCCCUGGCGAAAUCCCACGGCUCAACCGUGGGGCUUGCUGGGGAUACUGCGGGUCUUGGGACCGGGAGAGGCGGGGGGUACCCCUGGGGUAGGGGUGAAAUCCUAUAAUCCCAGGGGGACCGCCAGUGGCGAAGGCGCCCCGCUGGAACGGGUCCGACGGUGAGGGACGAAGGCCAGGGGAGCAAACCGGAUUAGAUACCCGGGUAGUCCUGGCUGUAAAGGAUGCGGGCUAGGUGUCGGGCGAGCCUCGAGCUCACCCGGUGCCGUAGGGAAGCCGUUAAGCCCGCCGCCUGGGGAGUACGGCCGCAAGGCUGAAACUUAAAGGAAUUGGCGGGGGAGCACUACAAGGGGUGGAGCGUGCGGUUUAAUUGGAUUCAACGCCGGGAACCUCACCGGGGGCGACGGCAGGAUGAAGGCCAGGCUGAAGGUCUUGCCGGACACGCCGAGAGGAGGUGCAUGGCCGCCGUCAGCUCGUACCGUGAGGCGUCCACUUAAGUGUGGUAACGAGCGAGACCCGCGCCCCCAGUUGCCAGCCCUUCCCGCUGGGAAGGGGGCACUCUGGGGGGACUGCCGGCGAUAAGCCGGAGGAAGGAGCGGGCGACGGUAGGUCAGUAUGCCCCGAAACCCCCGGGCUACACGCGCGCUACAAUGGAAUC
Molecule: ribosomal RNA, 1176 nt
Filed under: uncultured Thermococcus sp.
Lineage: Archaea; Methanobacteriati; Methanobacteriota; Thermococci; Thermococcales; Thermococcaceae
Description: bacterial SSU rRNA
Rfam family: Archaeal small subunit ribosomal RNA
Source: RNAcentral